RNAcentral lists this long non-coding RNA (1056 nucleotides) under Anser cygnoides (Swan goose). RNAcentral's name for it is "lncRNA (ENSACDG00005011996.1)". The record is from RNAcentral. Lineage: Eukaryota; Metazoa; Chordata; Aves; Anseriformes; Anatidae.
GUGGCCCAGCUGGGAUGGUCCUGGAGCAUCCGGGGGUGGUGUCCCUAUGGCCACGUGGUGUCCCCGUGGCCGUGCUGAUGUCCCCGCGCCGUGUCCCCAGAGCCUGCUGGUGCUGCUGGACCUGCUGGGCACCCAGCACCCCGCCAUCCACAGCCACUUCCCCCGCACCCACCACUGGUUCCUGCGCCUCGUCGCCAUCGGUGCGCUGCGGGGACACGGGGACGUGGGGACGUGGGGACACGGGGACGGGUGUGGGGUCAGGGCGUGGAUGGGGACAGGGCAUGGACGGGCCCUGCGGAUGUGCAAAGGGCUGGGGACGUGGCGUGGGGACAGGAGGGGUGACAAGGGGCUGGGGACAGGGCGUGGGUGGCACCUGGGGGACGCCCGUGGGUUUGGGGACAAGCAUGUGGUCGGCAUGGGGUGGGGUGACGUGGGGAUGGGGACAGGGUGGGUGCUGGGACACGGGCGGUGGUCGCGAGGAUGGGAAUGGGGACACGGAUGGGACGAGGAGGCUGGGAUGGGGACAAAGAUGGAGACAGGAUGGGGACGGGGGUGUCACAGAGUGCCUUUCCCUGUGUCCCCCCCUGUGUCCCCUUUGUGUCCCCGGUGCACAGAGAAACGACUGCGGAGCCUGGGGCUGCUGCACGCCUCCCCCCAGGACCAGCCCUUUUUCCGGCUCAGCCCAGCCCCGGGGCCCGUCGAGGACGACCACGUCCCCUUCCUGCAACGUGGCGUCCCCGUGCUGCAUCUCAUCCCCAUGCCCUUCCCCUGGGUCUGGCACACCACCGAGGACAACGAGGACAACCUCCACCUGCCCACCGUGGAGGACCUCUGCAAGAUCCUCGCCGCCUUCGUGGCCGAGUUCCUGCAGCUCUGAGCCACCCGGACACCCCGACACCCUCCGGCCUGAGCCCCCCCGGGGCGUCGGGGCAGCCCCUGGCUGCGCUGGGAGCCCCCACUAAUAAAAUCCUCGGUGCCUGGCGUCGUGUCCUGCGCUGUCACCCACCCCUGGGGACACCCACGGGGACGCGGUUCGGAACAGGCUCGCUGGGUGGA